UGACAUGGUGAAUAGAGGAGCGGACUCCAA
This 30-nucleotide non-coding RNA is filed under the name Homo sapiens (human). The record is from RNAcentral. Lineage: Eukaryota; Metazoa; Chordata; Mammalia; Primates; Hominidae.